Molecule: long non-coding RNA, 626 nt
Organism: Magnolia sinica
Lineage: Eukaryota; Viridiplantae; Streptophyta; Magnoliopsida; Magnoliales; Magnoliaceae
Exons: 2
Source: RefSeq, a predicted model, not a curated record
UAAUGGCCACAUUCAUCAUUUGAGAUAAAUUUCUUGCAGUAAUACUUAUAGGAUAGAAUCCACAACAUGGACGGUUUAGAUCAACAGACCACUUAACAUGUAGCUGAAGUUGAGGGGCGACACACGGUGGAAUUUGAAUCGCGACAGAAACAAAACGAGUAUGGUUGCGGACUGGAAUCUCCUGAUGAAUGGAUUGGAUGGACCACAAACAGUUGGAAAGGUUUUAUUCGGUGGGCCUCACCUAAGUGUUGCAUGUGGUGUGGCCCAGCUAGUUUUUCAUUCCUGCUGAUUUUUAGCCCAUGGAAAUGGAAGUUCGCAUCUAAUGGAGUGGGUGGAUCAGACGCAGUCUAUGGGCCACACAACAGCCCGUACAAUCACAAGUUGUAGGAGCACCACUACCACAUGGGCGCCAGCUCAUAUGUAACUAUAACACGACUAGCCAUCUGAACUAGGGAUGCACGGUCGGAGCUGGAGCCUGGGGGAGAAUUAUUUACUAUUCUGGCAGAGUGCGCGGACGCCCGAUUGCCUGCAGCGCCUGUCUCCGGGAAUAUCCCUGGAGCGGCCAUGCUCCGUGGGCCCAACUGACGUAUGUAUUUUAUUCACCUGUUACAUCCGUUUUUUCAGCU